Molecule: signal recognition particle RNA, 148 nt
Filed under: Gorilla gorilla gorilla (western lowland gorilla)
Lineage: Eukaryota; Metazoa; Chordata; Mammalia; Primates; Hominidae
Description: Metazoan signal recognition particle RNA
Rfam family: Metazoan signal recognition particle RNA
About the family: The signal recognition particle (SRP) is a universally conserved ribonucleoprotein. It is involved in the co-translational targeting of proteins to membranes.
Source: Rfam by way of RNAcentral
GCCAGGUGCGGUGGCGCGUGCCUGUAAUCCCAGCUACUAGGGAGGCUGAGGCAGGAGAAUCACUUGAACCCAGGAGGUGGAGGUUGCAGUGGGCUGAGAUUGUGCCACUGCACUCCAACCUGGGCAACAGAGUGAGACCCUGCCUCAA